UCUUGGUCAUUUAGAGGAAGUAAAAGUCGUAACAAGGUCUCCGUUGGUGAACCAGCGGAGGGAUCAUUACAGAGUUGCAAAACUCCCUAAACCAUUGUGAACGUUACCUAAACCGUUGCUUCGGCGGGCGGCCCGGGUCUCUCCCGGCGCCCCUGGGCCCUCGCGGGCGCCCGCCGGAGGUAAACCAAACUAUUGCAUUGUAUGGCCUCUCUGAGUCUUCUGUACUGAAUAAGUCAAAACUUUCAACAACGGAUCUCUUGGUUCUGGCAUCGAUGAAGAACGCAGCGAAAUGCGAUAAGUAAUGUGAAUUGCAGAAUUCAGUGAAUCAUCGAAUCUUUGAACGCACAUUGCGCCCGCCAGUAUUCUGGCGGGCAUGCCUGUUCGAGCGUCAUUUCAACCACCAAGCCCCGGGCUUGUGUUGGGGACCUGCGGCUGCCGCAGGCCCUGAAAUGCAGUGGCGGGCUCGCUGUCACUCCGAGCGUAGUAGUUACAUCUCGCUCUGGGCGUGCUACGGGUUCCGGCCGUUAAAAGCCUUAUUUACCCAAGGUUGACCUCGGAUCAGGUAGGAAGACCCGCUGAACUUAAGCAUAUCAAUAAGCG
Molecule: ribosomal RNA, 600 nt
Filed under: uncultured Humicola
Lineage: Eukaryota; Fungi; Ascomycota
Description: eukaryotic LSU rRNA
Rfam family: 5.8S ribosomal RNA (bases 238-391)
Source: RNAcentral